CUGGCGGCCAUGAUGGGCAAGGUCCACCAUGGCCCAAAGGAGAGUUUCAUGGAGAAGGACAGCCUUCCCAUCUCACUCCCUUCAGUUCUCUGCGGCUGUCCAGUCAUUUGUUCACAGUAAGUGAUUAUCAUCUGUGUCCUCCCAGGAUGGACCCCGUGAAGACCCAUCAUGCUUUACUGUCUCUCACAAGGUUAAUGUGCUGAUUUGCUUUAUUUCAACGAGUGGAAUCAAAUCUAAGCAAACUUUUGAUAAUGUGCAAAACUUCAUUUGUAUUAAGAAUGUCACUCAGUGGCUUUGAAUAGGAACCCCGGGCUGCUGCAUAGGACCCAGCCAGAAGUUGAAGUGAAGGCCUGAUUUCUGUGUUAAAAUGAUGACAAAUGGAAACCAAUCCGUGAUGUUUGCAGUAUCCCUUUCAGUACUGGGUCACUCGUAUUCAGAAGGACCAGUGAUGUCUGACAAAUCAAAAAUACAGACACAGCUGCCGAGUACCUCAGUAAGCCAUUUAUGAAACUCAUUGAUAAAGAAAAUACCAAAACAGAAGACACGUUUCUCUCUCCUCUGGUCUGAACCCCUUUUUACAUACCAUGACGUACCCCCACCAGGCUCUGGCUGCCUGGCCAAGCUUCUCGAAGCAGCAGGCUGCUGAGGACGUCUGCUGGCAUCUGUGUCAGGGUGGAGGACCUGGCACUGGGAGAUGUAGAGACAGCUCCUUCAGUAAUUCUGACAUGCACUGUCAUUCGAUGGCGCGAUUGGCGGAGGGCCCACAUUGCCAUCCAUCUCCAAGUUUGUGCUGGGGUCAGACUGCGGUGGGCGUCUCAUAGCCGUUAACCAAGUUCCGCACCGACAGCAAGUACCAAGACAGGCCCAGUCCCAGAGACACAGGCCGCUGGCUCAUGCUUUAGCUGGAGGAGCCCUGACAGCCGUGGCUUGUGCCCCACCUCCCUUCGCCACCUUCCACAUGGCGAAUUAGGCUGGGGUGGCCGCGUGACAGCUCUGCCAGCCCGUCUGCCUGCCUUCCGGAUUUCUCUCCUGCAGGUGUUUCCCCUAAUAAAAUCCUUCCACGUUGAGCCGCUGACAUUCUGAGACCCAGGAUAAGACACUUAAGUUAGGAACCACGGAUUCUCGGGUUGCUUGGCACGGCCUCAGAAAUAGAAAGCUUGUAAGAGUUGUGUGUGAUCUUCAGAAGAGUCCCCCCGCCAGGCGGCUGCUUUUGGAUGACGUGCCAGCUACUCUUGAUAGCCGGCCUCCGGUUGGCUCUGCCUCCUUAGCUUCUCAGCCCUGAUCCAGCUACUAGUAUCCUGAUCUAGCUACUGCCCUCUACAGCACUCAGAGAUCUUUAAAUAAAGCAACUGGAUUCUUCUAUACAUCCCCCUUCCCCUGAAAAA
Peromyscus maniculatus bairdii (prairie deer mouse) is the source of this 1385-nucleotide non-coding RNA. The record is from RefSeq and is a predicted model, not a curated record. Lineage: Eukaryota; Metazoa; Chordata; Mammalia; Rodentia; Cricetidae.